This 587-nucleotide ribosomal RNA is filed under the name uncultured marine ciliate. RNAcentral's name for it is "partial 18S ribosomal RNA". It matches the Rfam family "Eukaryotic small subunit ribosomal RNA", at positions 319 to 887 of the family's 1831-position model. Lineage: Eukaryota; Ciliophora. The record is from RNAcentral.
CUGGAUGGUAGUGUAUUGGACAACCAUGGCAUUCACGGGCUAUCGGGGGAUUAGGGUUCGAUUCCGGAGAGGGAGCCUGAGAAACGGCUACCACUUCUACGGAAGGCAGCAGGCGCGAAAAUUAUCCAAUCCUGAUUCAGGGAGGUAGUGACAGAAAUAAUGAACUAGGAUUUAUCCUGGGGUCAGAAUGGGCUUGAUUUGCAAACUUUAUUUAGCGAGGAACAAUUGGAGGGCAAGUCUGGUGCCAGCAGCCGCGGUAAUUCCAGCUCCAAUAGUGUAUAUUAAUGUUCCUGCAGUUAUUCGAUGCUCGUAGUUGGAUUUCUGGAGGCUGAGACAGGAAGGCAGCCAAGGUUGUCGCCAGUCUCUUCCUUCAUCCACCUGUUAACGUUGUCCGGGAUUCAUUUCUCGGCUUCGGGCUCAGGUAUUUUACCCUUUCUAUAUAUUCAUUUAUUUACUUUUUGAGCAAAUUAUAGUGUUUCNNGCAGGCGUGCGCCGGAAUACAUUAGCAUGGAAUAAUCGAACAGGACCGUGUAUUCAUAAUUUGAAUUCNUCCNUANUNNNNUNCUAANNCANGNAANNNNANNNGG